UAGGAGCUCCAAAUGUGACUGAGAGGUGGCA
Molecule: non-coding RNA, 31 nt
Filed under: Homo sapiens (human)
Lineage: Eukaryota; Metazoa; Chordata; Mammalia; Primates; Hominidae
Source: RNAcentral